RNAcentral lists this ribosomal RNA (406 nucleotides) under uncultured bacterium. RNAcentral's name for it is "partial 16S ribosomal RNA". It matches the Rfam family "Bacterial small subunit ribosomal RNA", at positions 30 to 526 of the family's 1533-position model. The record is from RNAcentral.
AUUGAACGCUGGCGGCAGGCCUAAUACAUGCAAGUCGAACGAGUGGCGGACGGGUGAGUAAUGUCUGGGAAACUGCCUGAUGGAGGGGGAUAACUAGUGGAACCGGUAGCUAAUACCGCAUACCAUCGGAUGUGCCCAGGUGGGAUUAGCUAGUAGGUGGGGUAAAGGCUCACCUAGGCGACGAUCCCUAGCUGGUCUGAGAGGAUGACCGGCCACACUGGAACUGAGACACGGUCCAGACUCCUACGGGAGGCAGCAGUAGGGAAUCUUGCACAAUGGGCGCAAGCCUGACAGAGCCAUGCCGCGUGUGUGAAGAAGGCCUUCGGAUUGUAAAGUUCUUUCAGUGGGGAGGCGUUACCCGCACAGGAAGCAACGGCUAACUCCGCGCCAGCAGCCGCGGUAAUAC